RNAcentral lists this ribosomal RNA (1289 nucleotides) under Salmonella enterica. Its description in RNAcentral is "partial 23S ribosomal RNA". It matches the Rfam family "Bacterial large subunit ribosomal RNA", at positions 1535 to 2803 of the family's 2925-position model. The record is from RNAcentral. Lineage: Bacteria; Pseudomonadati; Pseudomonadota; Gammaproteobacteria; Enterobacterales; Enterobacteriaceae. RNAcentral also lists the same sequence under 2 other names.
GGUAAAUCCGGUUCACUUUAACACUGAGGCGUGACGACGAGGCACUACGGUGCUGAAGCAACAAAUGCCCUGCUUCCAGGAAAAGCCUCUAAGCAUCAGGUAACAUCAAAUCGUACCCCAAACCGACACAGGUGGUCAGGUAGAGAAUACCAAGGCGCUUGAGAGAACUCGGGUGAAGGAACUAGGCAAAAUGGUGCCGUAACUUCGGGAGAAGGCACGCUGACACGUAGGUGAAGUGAUUUACUCAUGGAGCUGAAGUCAGUCGAAGAUACCAGCUGGCUGCAACUGUUUAUUAAAAACACAGCACUGUGCAAACACGAAAGUGGACGUAUACGGUGUGACGCCUGCCCGGUGCCGGAAGGUUAAUUGAUGGGGUCAGCGCAAGCGAAGCUCCUGAUCGAAGCCCCGGUAAACGGCGGCCGUAACUAUAACGGUCCUAAGGUAGCGAAAUUCCUUGUCGGGUAAGUUCCGACCUGCACGAAUGGCGUAAUGAUGGCCAGGCUGUCUCCACCCGAGACUCAGUGAAAUUGAACUCGCUGUGAAGAUGCAGUGUACCCGCGGCAAGACGGAAAGACCCCGUGAACCUUUACUAUAGCUUGACACUGAACAUUGAGCCUUGAUGUGUAGGAUAGGUGGGAGGCUUUGAAGUGUGGACGCCAGUCUGCAUGGAGCCGACCUUGAAAUACCACCCUUUAAUGUUUGAUGUUCUAACGUGGACCCGUUACCCGGGUUGCGGACAGUGUCUGGUGGGUAGUUUGACUGGGGCGGUCUCCUCCUAAAGAGUAACGGAGGAGCACGAAGGUUGGCUAAUCCUGGUCGGACAUCAGGAGGUUAGUGCAAUGGCAUAAGCCAGCUUGACUGCGAGCGUGACGGCGCGAGCAGGUGCGAAAGCAGGUCAUAGUGAUCCGGUGGUUCUGAAUGGAAGGGCCAUCGCUCAACGGAUAAAAGGUACUCCGGGGAUAACAGGCUGAUACCGCCCAAGAGUUCAUAUCGACGGCGGUGUUUGGCACCUCGAUGUCGGCUCAUCACAUCCUGGGGCUGAAGUAGGUCCCAAGGGUAUGGCUGUUCGCCAUUUAAAGUGGUACGCGAGCUGGGUUUAGAACGUCGUGAGACAGUUCGGUCCCUAUCUGCCGUGGGCGCUGGAGAACUGAGGGGGGCUGCUCCUAGUACGAGAGGACCGGAGUGGACGCAUCACUGGUGUUCGGGUUGUCAUGCCAAUGGCACUGCCCGGUAGCUAAAUGCGGAAGAGAUAAGUGCUGAAAGCAUCUAAGCACGAAACUUGCCCCGAG